RNAcentral lists this ribosomal RNA (1435 nucleotides) under metagenome. RNAcentral's name for it is "bacterial SSU rRNA". It matches the Rfam family "Bacterial small subunit ribosomal RNA". The record is from RNAcentral.
GCGGUAGCAAUAUCGCCUAGAGCGGCGGACUGGUGAGUAACACGUGGGUGAUCUACCUUUUGGGAUGGGGAUAGCCUGUGGAAACACAGGAUAAUACCGAAUACGUUGGCUUGAUUGCGGUCAGGUCAGGAAAGGUCCGUUUGGACCGCCCGAAGAUGAGCCCGCGGCUGAUUAGCUUGUUGGCGGGGUAAUGGCCCACCAAGGCGAUGAUCAGUAGGCGGCCUGAGAGGGUGUACGCCCACAUUGGGACUGAGAUACGGCCCAAACUCCUACGGGAGGCAGCAGCUAAGAAUAUUCCGCAAUGGACGAAAGUCUGACGGAGCGACGCCGUGUGGAUGACGAAGGCCGAAAGGUUGUAAAAUCCUUUUGCUGGUGAAGAAUAAGUCUGGGAGGAAAUGCCCGGAUGAUGACAUGAACCGGUGAAUAAGCCCCGGCAAACUACGUGCCAGCAGCCGCGGUAACACGUAGGGGGCAAGCGUUGUUCGGAAUUAUUGGGCGUAAAGGGCAUGUAGGCGGUCUUGUAAGUCUGGCGUGAAAUGGUUCGGCUUAACCGAAUCCUGCGUCGGAAACUGCGAGACUAGAAUCACAGAGGGGAAAUCAGAAUUCCAGGUGUAGGGGUGAAAUCUGUAGAUAUCUGGAAGAAUACCAGUGGCGAAGGCGGAUUUCUGGCUGAUGAUUGACGCUGAGGUGCGAAAGUGCGGGGAGCAAACAGGAUUAGAUACCCUGGUAGUCCGCACGGUAAACGAUGUGCACUAGGUGUUGGAACGGAUGUUUCAGUGCCGGAGUUAACGUGUUAAGUGCACCGCCUGGGGAGUAUGCCCGCAAGGGUGAAACUCAAAGGAAUUGACGGGGGCCCGCACAAGCGGUGGAGCAUGUGGUUUAAUUCGAUGGUACGCGAGGAACCUUACCUGAGCUUGACAUAUGGUGGAAUGCAUCAGAGAUGGUGCAGCGUAGCAAUACGUCGCUAUACAGGUGCUGCAUGGCUGUCGUCAGCUCGUGCCGUGAGGUGUUGGGUUAAGUCCCGCAACGAGCGCAACCCCUACUGCCAGUUACUAACAGGUCAUGCUGAGGACUCUGGCGGAACUGCCGGUGACAAACCGGAGGAAGGUGGGGAUGACGUCAAGUCAUCAUGGCCCUUAUGUCCAGGGCUACACACGUGCUACAAUGGGCGAUACAGAACGACGCAAAGCCGCGAGGUAGAGCAAAUCGUAGAAAAUCGCUCGUAGUUCGGAUUGGAGUCUGAAACCUGACUCCAUGAAGUUGGAAUCGCUAGUAAUCGCGCAUCAGCACGGCGCGGUGAAUACGUUCCCGGGCCUUGUACACACCGCCCGUCACACCAUCCGAGUUGGAGGUACCCGAAGCCGGUAGUCUAACCUGCAAAGGAGGACGCUGUCGAAGGUACGUCUGGUAAGGAGGGUGAAGUCGUAACAAGGUA